This 496-nucleotide ribosomal RNA is filed under the name uncultured bacterium. RNAcentral describes it as "partial 16S ribosomal RNA". It matches the Rfam family "Bacterial small subunit ribosomal RNA", at positions 29 to 507 of the family's 1533-position model. The record is from RNAcentral.
AUGAACGCUGGCGGCGUGCCUAAUACAUGCAAGUCGAGCGAACGGACGAGAAGCUUGCUUUUCUGAUGUUAGCGGCGGACGGGUGAGUAACACGUGGAUAACCUACCUAUAAGACUGGGAUAACUUCGGGAAACCGGGGCUAAUACCGGAUAAUAUUUUGAACCGCAUGGUUCAAAAGUGAAAGACGGUCUUGCUGUCACUUAUAGAUGGAUCCGCUCUGCAUUAGCUAGUUGGUAAGGUAACGGCUUACCAAGGCAACGAUGCAUAGCCGACCUGAGAGGGUGAUCGGCCACACUGGAACGGAGACACGGUCCAGACUCCUACGGGAGGCAGCAGUAGGGAAUCUUCCGCAAUGGGCGAAAGCCUGACGGAGCAACGCCGCGUGAGUGAUGAAGGUCUUCGGAUCGUAAAACUCUGUUAUUAGGGAAGAACAUAUGUGUAAGUAACUGUGCACAUCUUGACGGUACCUAAUCAGAAAGCCACGGCUAACUACGUG